UACGUAGGGUGCAAGCGUUGUCCGGAAUUAUUGGGCGUAAAGAGCUCGUAGGCGGUUUGUCGCGUCUGCUGUGAAAAUCCAGGGCUUAACCCUGGACCUGCAGUGGGUACGGGCAGACUAGAGUGCGGUAGGGGAGAUCGGAAUUCCUGGUGUAGCGGUGAAAUGCGCAGAUAUCAGGAGGAACACCGGUGGCGAAGGCGGCUUUCUGGUCUGCUCUUGACGCUGAGGCGCGAAAGCUAGGGUAGCAAACGGG
Molecule: ribosomal RNA, 253 nt
Filed under: uncultured bacterium
Lineage: Bacteria
Description: partial 16S ribosomal RNA
Rfam family: Bacterial small subunit ribosomal RNA
Source: RNAcentral